GAUGAACGCUAGCGGCAGGCUUAACACAUGCAAGUCGAGGGGUAACAGGGAAGCUUGCUUCCGCUGACGACCGGCGCACGGGUGCGUAACACGUAUGGAAUCUGCCCUUUACUGGGGAAUAGCCCGGAGAAAUCCGGAUUAAUGCCCCAUACUAGACGAGAUGGCAUCAUCUUGUCUUGAAAGCUCCGGCGGUAAAGGAUGACCAUGCGCACGAUUAGUUUGUUGGUGAGGUAACGGCUCACCAAGACUACGAUCGUUAGGGGGCCUGAGAGGGUUAUCCCCCACACUGGUACUGAGACACGGACCAGACUCCUACGGGAGGCAGCAGUGAGGAAUAUUGCGCAAUGGAGGCAACUCUGACGCAGCCAUGCCGCGUGCAGGAAGAAGGCGCUACGCGUUGUAAACUGCUUUUUAAUCGGGAAGAAACCCCGGGACGUGUCCCGGGUUGACGGUACCGAUGGAAUAAGCACCGGCUAACUUCGUGCCAGCAGCCGCGGUAAAGUGU
This 505-nucleotide ribosomal RNA is filed under the name uncultured bacterium. RNAcentral describes it as "bacterial SSU rRNA". It matches the Rfam family "Bacterial small subunit ribosomal RNA", at positions 28 to 528 of the family's 1533-position model. The record is from RNAcentral.